CCAUUGGAGGGCAAGUCUGGUGAACGUAUGCAUCAAAGCCCUCCGUAAUAAAAAAAAACAGCGCCAGAUGUCUCUCUCUGGAAGCACACCACGCACGGGGUUCGUUCCUCUCUGCAUGGCCGUGUGAAAAAGGCGAGUAGGCAAACGAUGGGAAACCCGGCUUGGAAUAGUAACCAGCCACAGAGGCCCCAUCAUACACUUCUAAAUUGCCGGGGAGUGCCCGCGAGGCCUUGACUACCGCGGUCCGCCGAGAGGUGAGAGCGAGCAAUCGCUCAGGACGCAGCAGUGUACGUAGUGGUACAUGGAUGGUAAAAACGUCAAGGAUAGGGUUGAUCCGCAGGGAAGCGCGAGGGCCAACCUGCCUUUGGGCAACAGUUGGCAAAGGCGAACCUUCAGAGACUCUAAUGGAGUGGGCGCAAGCUUAAGGGAGAGUCCAAUCCACUGGGAAACCAGGUCCACAGCAGUAACGGGGUGAUGCUCGCCCCAGAGGACUGUGGAAGGCAACCACCAAAGCGGUGUGUGUUGUCGGGUAGCAAUGGCCAGCAGCCGCGGUAAUUCCAG
Molecule: non-coding RNA, 561 nt
Filed under: Pyropia yezoensis (susabi-nori)
Lineage: Eukaryota; Rhodophyta; Bangiophyceae; Bangiales; Bangiaceae
Source: RNAcentral